This 28-nucleotide small RNA is filed under the name Bombyx mori (domestic silkworm). RNAcentral's name for it is "ovarian small RNA-17410". Lineage: Eukaryota; Metazoa; Arthropoda; Insecta; Lepidoptera; Bombycidae. The record is from RNAcentral.
GGCCAGCUGUCUGGCGAGUGUCGUGGGC